GACGAACGCUGGCGGCGUGCUUAACACAUGCAAGUCGAACGGUAAGGCCCUUCGGGGUACACGAGUGGCGAACGGGUGAGUAACACGUGGGUGAUCUGCCCUGCACUUCGGGAUAAGCCUGGGAAACUGGGUCUAAUACCGGAUAGGACCCUGGGAUGCAUGUCCUGGGGUGGAAAGCUUUUGCGGUGUGGGAUGGGCCCGCGGCCUAUCAGCUUGUUGGUGGGGUGAUGGCCUACCAAGGCGACGACGGGUAGCCGGCCUGGGAGGGUGACCGGCCACACUGGGACUGGGAUACGGCCCAGACUCCUACGGGAGGCAGCAGUGGGGAAUAUUGCACAAUGGGCGCAAGCCGGAUGCAGCGACGCCGCGUGAGGGAUGACGGCCUUCGGGUUGUAAACCUCUUUCAGCACCGACGAAGCGCAAGUGACGGUAGGUGCAGAAGAAGGACCGGCCAACUACGUGCCAGCCGCCGCAGUAA
Molecule: ribosomal RNA, 478 nt
Filed under: uncultured bacterium
Lineage: Bacteria
Description: partial 16S ribosomal RNA
Rfam family: Bacterial small subunit ribosomal RNA
Source: RNAcentral